This 1267-nucleotide ribosomal RNA is filed under the name Astalotermes cf. brevior CMRT056. Its description in RNAcentral is "16S ribosomal RNA". The stretch from base 838 to 1210 matches the Rfam family "Bacterial large subunit ribosomal RNA", at positions 2073 to 2647 of the family's 2925-position model. Lineage: Eukaryota; Metazoa; Arthropoda; Insecta; Blattodea; Termitidae. The record is from RNAcentral.
UUUAUUGGUUGUCUUGUAUUUAGUUUAUGUUUGUGUUUGUGUUAUACUUUUAUUGAAGAAUCAUUUAUGUUGUUGUAUUUUUGUGAUUUAAUUUUUUGUGCUAUAGUUUAUUUUUACCGUAGGGGGGCUGACUUAUAUAAUUAAUUUUUAGAAGUUAAUUUUAUUUAUUGUACCUUGUGUAUCAGGGUUUAUUGAAUUUUAUUAUUUAUUUUUAUUUCCCGAUUUUGAAGGAGUUAGUGAUUUAUGUUAGUUACUGUUUUAUUAGUAUUAAUAAUAGGUUAUUGGUAGUGAAAUGUUAAUCGUCUUUAGUGGUUUCUGGUUUUUCAAGAAAUGAAUUUAAUUCAUGCUCCUUAUUUAAUUUUUACUUUUUUGUAUUUUUUUUAAUUUGGUGUUAAAAUUAAGGGGGAUUAGCUCCUUAUUUGAUGUUUAUAAUUUUUGUUUUUAUUAAUUUUUGUGGAUUUUAUAUUGAUUUUCAAUUUGAUUAUGUUAAAAUUAUUGAAAUGUUUCCUUUGCUUUUGUAUUGGAUAGUAAUUAUUGUAUAAUUAGUAAAUUUUUAUUUUACGUUAUUUAUUUGUAUGUUAGAUUCUUUUUAGGAAUUCGGCAAAUUUUGUGUCCGCCUGUUUAACAAAAACAUCUUUUCUCGUUAGUUUUUGAAGUAUGACCUGCCCACUGACUUAUUGUUGAAGGGCCGCGGUAUUUUGACCGUGCAAAGGUAGCAUAAUCAUUAGUUCUUUAAUUGUGAUCUGGUAUGAAUGGUUUGACGAGACAUUAGCUGUCUUAGAUUAGUUGAAUAAUUUUGGUUGAAUUUAGUUUUUGAGUUAAAAUUCUUAGAUGUUUUUAUGGGACGAGAAGACCCUAUAGAGUUUGACAUUUGUAUUUAUUUACUGUUAGGUUGUUUGUUUAUUUUGAUUGAAUAAGGCAAAUGUUUUGUUGGGGUGAUGGGAGGAAUUAUAUAACUCCUCUUUAAUUUAUGUAUAUUUAUGUAUAUUUGUUUUGAUCCAUUUAUUUUGAUUAUAAGAUUAAAUUACCUUAGGGAUAACAGCGUUAUCUUCCCUGAGAGUUCUUAUUGGCGGGAAGGAUUGCGACCUCGAUGUUGGAUUAAGGUAAAUUUUCGGUGCAGGAGCUGGAAUUAAUUAGGUCUGUUCGACCUUUAAAAUCUUACAUGAUCUGAGUUCAGACCGGCGUGAGCCAGGUUGGUUUCUAUCUAUAAUAUUUUUUUAUAUCUUAGUACGAGAGGACCGGGUAUUUGGAAUAAUUUUAUUUAUUA